RNAcentral lists this ribosomal RNA (320 nucleotides) under uncultured Actinomycetes bacterium. RNAcentral's name for it is "bacterial SSU rRNA". It matches the Rfam family "Bacterial small subunit ribosomal RNA", at positions 28 to 351 of the family's 1533-position model. Lineage: Bacteria; Bacillati; Actinomycetota; Actinomycetes. The record is from RNAcentral.
GACGAACGCUGGCGGCGUGCUUAACACAUGCAAGUCGAGCGGAAAGGCCCUUCGGGGUACUCGAGCGGCGAACGGGUGAGUAACACGUGAGUAAUCUGCCCUUGGCUUUGGGAUAACUACCGGAAACGGUGGCUAAUACCGGAUACGACAACCGUCUGCAUGGACUGGUUGUGGAAAGUUUUUUCGGCCAGGGAUGUGCUCGCGGCCUAUCAGCUUGUUGGUGGGGUAAUGGCCUACCAAGGCUUCGACGGGUAGCCGGCCUGAGAGGGUGACCGGCCACACUGGGACUGAGACACGGCCCAGACUCCUACGGGUGGCUG